RNAcentral lists this transfer RNA (83 nucleotides) under Flavobacteriales bacterium. RNAcentral's name for it is "tRNA-Leu". Lineage: Bacteria; Pseudomonadati; Bacteroidota; Flavobacteriia; Flavobacteriales. The record is from RNAcentral.
ACCCGGGUGCUGAAAUUGGUAGACAGGCUACGUUGAGGUCGUAGUGCAUUACGUGCGUGUGAGUUCGACUCUCAUCCCGGGUA